This 824-nucleotide ribosomal RNA is filed under the name bacterium. RNAcentral describes it as "bacterial SSU rRNA". It matches the Rfam family "Bacterial small subunit ribosomal RNA", at positions 25 to 863 of the family's 1533-position model. The record is from RNAcentral.
CAGGACGAACGCUGGCGGCGUGCUUAACACAUGCAAGUCGAACGAUGAAGCCCUUCGGGGUGGAUUAGUGGCGAACGGGUGAGUAACACGUGGGCAAUCUGCCCUGCACUCUGGGACAAGCCCUGGAAACGGGGUCUAAUACCGGAUAUUGACCAUCUUGGGCAUCCUUGAUGGUGGAAAGCUCCGGCGGUGCAGGAUGAGCCCGCGGCCUAUCAGCUUGUUGGUGAGGUAAUGGCUCACCAAGGCGACGACGGGUAGCCGGCCUGAGAGGGCGACCGGCCACACUGGGACUGAGACACGGCCCAGACUCCUACGGGAGGCAGCAGUGGGGAAUAUUGCACAAUGGGCGAAAGCCUGAUGCAGCGACGCCGCGUGAGGGAUGACGGCCUUCGGGUUGUAAACCUCUUUCAGCAGGGAAGAAGCGAAAGUGACGGUACCUGCAGAAGAAGCGCCGGCUAACUACGUGCCAGCAGCCGCGGUAAUACGUAGGGCGCGAGCGUUGUCCGGAAUUAUUGGGCGUAAAGAGCUCGUAGGCGGCUUGUCGCGUCGGUUGUGAAAGCCCGGGGCUUAACCCCGGGUCUGCAGUCGAUACGGGCAGGCUAGAGUUCGGUAGGGGAGAUCGGAAUUCCUGGUGUAGCGGUGAAAUGCGCAGAUAUCAGGAGGAACACCGGUGGCGAAGGCGGAUCUCUGGGCCGAUACUGACGCUGAGGAGCGAAAGCGUGGGGAGCGAACAGGAUUAGAUACCCUGGUAGUCCACGCCGUAAACGGUGGGCACUAGGUGUGGGCAACAUUCCACGUUGUCCGUGCCGCAGCUAACGCAUUAA